Molecule: non-coding RNA, 3912 nt
Organism: Prunus avium (sweet cherry)
Lineage: Eukaryota; Viridiplantae; Streptophyta; Magnoliopsida; Rosales; Rosaceae
Source: RefSeq, a predicted model, not a curated record
AUUUCUCUAGAAAAAAAGAAAAAAGAAAACAAAAAGAAAGAAGCAAAACAUAAACAAAGACAGAAAACGAAAUCUAAAAUCAAACAUGCACCUUUCUUGGAAAGCUACUUGUGCUGCCUUGUUCAUUUCUUGAGCUUUUUGGGAAUAGGCACACUGGAACUUGUUUCCCAAAUUGUUUAUGUAAGUGGUUACACUUUAACUGAUGAGGAGGAAGAAGACUGUCAGUAGUAACAGUGUCAGAUUAGAACUCUUUGUUUUCUGUUCUCUCCCUGGAAACAUGAUUACCACAUCCUCUGAUGAUGGAUUGGACACCGGAACCAAGGCUGUUGAGAGGUUGAGGCAACUUAUGAGGGAAGUAGCCCCUAAAACUACCAACUUUCAAGUACUUAUCCCUGAUUCAAAUUCCCAGCAUUUCAUCUUAGGUCCUGCAUCAGAAUUCGUAAAUGAUGCCCCUGACAUUCAUAUGAAUGAAUUUCUGAAAUGCAAAACUGAAGAUUUUCUUAUAAACAAUCAAAAUGCCAACUUCUAUAAAUGGUUUCAUUAUCAUCCUCGGUUUUGGCCAACUAAUCACCCUAAUUGGCUCUCUUGGUUUCAAAGAGUCGAAGAUCAAAAGCAGUAUAUUUGGCAUCAAGCUGGAAUCUAUGAUAUUCUCCAAUUCUCCAAGUUUACCAUUCCGUUCAAUCGUUCUUUAGUACUUGCUGCACUCUGCUUUUGGUCAUCUUCCACAAACUCUUUUCACCUUGGGCAUGGUCCCCUUACUAUUACUCUCUUAGAUCUUAGUGCUUUGGUAGGACUUAGACCAGAUGGCCCCCAGUUUGAUGCUCUUGUUGGUAAUUCCAUCUCCAUUCCAGAUGAUAACUUUGGCAUUAAGAUAACGAAGCUCGCCAAUUUUUCUUCCUUCAUUAGAGAACAUAACAAAGUUGAAGGAGUUGUCACAGAAGAAGAGCACGUAGCUUUUCUACACUACUGGCUUUGCCGUUACCUAAUUUGUUCUCCUUCAUUCAAGAUUAUAAAGGCCAAUUUACCCUUGGCUGUGGCUUUAUCUAGGGGCGAAUCAUACGCUUUAGGACCCCUUGUUCUUGCCUACUUGUAUAGAGGCAUCAACGACUUACUUCACUCUCAGUUGGGUACUGCUGGAGGUCCAUUAUGGAUUCUACAACUAUGGCUUCAUGCAUACUUUCCAAAAGUGCGCCCUGGUUGUUUUUCAGUUCACCAUCUCUCCUGUGAAGGACUAAAGUAUGUUUUGUACAAAGAGCCUGAAUGUUCAUUUCAUGAUUGUUUAAUGUAUAUGUGCCACUUUGACAGAGAGGAGAAUUUUAACUUCAUCCCAUAUUCAAAGUCAGAUGCUUUGCCUACAUGGUUGAUCUUUCCUCGGUCUGAAAUGACCAAGACCGAGCUUUCUACACUCGUGGACAUGUGGGCUAGCUUCCUUGUUAGUCGUGAUCUUCCUCUUGGUAUCAUGAUUGGGAAAUCUGCAAGUAAAACUUGCGGUGUUGAAGCAUAUUGCCCAAAUCUCUGUGCCCGUCAGUUCGGUCUGAUUCAAGGCAUUCCUACUCCUCCUUUCUUCUCUUUCAAUACCCAUUCCCCUGAAAGAACAAUAUUUCACACUUCUGAACAAUUCCUGGUGCUUAAGUUUACCACAUCUCUUUUGUUCAAGAAACUUAAAUUUGUUCCAUUUUCACUUCUACCUAGUGCCACCUCAUCCUUCCAAUGUUGGUGGGAAAAAUUCUAUAAGGAAGCCUUUCCUCAUGAUCAAGAUUUGAACUGUCUUUUUAAGCUUGAUGACUUGGACCAGAACAGACCCCUUCAUCCACCUAAGUCAACAUCUGCUUUCAACAAGCGUAAAGAGUUAACCUCCUUGCAAAUGGAAGGCGGCAGAUCUGACCAAUUGCAAGCACACCCACCAACAAAACGAAUGAAGUUUGUGGCUCAGCGAGCAAAGAGUUCCAGUGUAGCUCAUUGCAAAGAAGCCCAGGCUCUGGCUAAAUUUCAAUACCUGCCUGGACGAGGGAGAGCUCAUAGUAAAAAAAGAACGAUUAUAACAGAAUAUCAUUGUUUAAGAAGUAUGAUAAAGGGCAAUUAUCUAUUUCAUGCCAAGUCCAAGGAAGCCAUUGUUGACAAAAGCGGUUUAAGUGUCUCCAAAGGUUGUGGCAAGAAAAGGAUAACCAAAGAAGAAGAGCAUCGUUUUUUGAUAAAUCUAAUUAAGUCCAAUUCUCAAUCUCACUCUGAGGAAAAGAAAGCGACCUUUGAGAGAAACACAAGUCCUCUUCGAACGAAACCACAAUCUGAUGCUCCAGAUGAGGGAGACUUUGUUGAAUUAACUGAAGAUAACAUUAGUUCUAAGCUGAAAGAUCUUCCACUAACUCAGGCUUUGGAUGCAUCAAAUGGAGAGCUGCCUAUUCGAAUUUUGUCUCCAUCAACCCAAAUAGCUGAACCUCAGCUUCAUCCAGAGCCAAGCAUUCUAUUCCCACUUCAAGAACAGUCAUGUUAUCCAAAUCCUUCGAGGAAAGAAAGUGGUUUGCACUACUCUGGCUUUCAUGUGAAACGUGAUCUUAAGAUGUCAAAGCCUGAGCCCUCUAUCCGAGCUUUGGACUUUCUUGAAAGAUAUCUCAUCCAGCAUCCAGAUGUUUGCAUAGUCACCAACGCCAAAGAAGCUCUCAUUCCUAAUUCUGAUGAAAUUUCCAAAGCCAAGGCUGAGAUCCAAAGUAUUUCCACACUCUCUCUAGAUGAAGUCAUGGAGAUUGAAUGUUUACAUAACUUAAAAUCUUCGUUGGAAAUCUUGCUCAUAACGAAUGACCAAACUGGAGUUGAGUUUGCGAACAUUGAAAAUGUCCAGGAGAAGCUUGCUUUUGUGGAGUCCAAGUAUCACUUGGCUAGUGGAAUCACAGCUGAAGUUCAAAAACAAUUUAAUCAGAAAAUUGAACUGGAACAAGAAGUAGAAGUUUAUUCUCUUCGCUUUUCUAAAGCUCAAGAAGAUGAACCAAAGUUUCUGACUUGUAUCACUGUACAAAAAUCAAUCAUUGAAGAGCUUGAGAAAAAACUGGGUGAGGAGAAAGCUGUUUUGAAGAAACUGGAGGAGUUUCAUGCCAACGCCAAAACCAAAAUGGAUCAAAUCAGUUACAAGCUUGAGCGCACACAGAAGUUGCUUCAUGAUCACUGUAUCCAUGAGAAAGCUCGGGUGAAAAGAGCGUUGCAAGCCAAAAAGGACUUUGAAUCAAUGGAAGCGACUUGGGUUCAGAUCCAACAACUGCUUUCCUCAAUUAGUGAUUUGCCAAUGGAGGAAACAACCCCUUGAGGGUUGUCAUGGUAGAACUCAGCUGAUGUAGAGGUGAUAUUUUGGGAUGUUGUCCUUGUUUCCUUUGUCCUUCCCUUUUGUUCCCCUUUAAGUUAAAUGCAACAUAAUAUUAGAAAUGCAGUGGUGGUUGAGCAUCUUGGCAGGGAGGUGGUUUGGCUGCUUGUGCAUCUCUUAGUGCGAGAUUGCAGUAAAGGUGUUUAAGGAAUCCCUCUUCAAACUUGGGGAGGCUUGAGGGUUUGAAAAGUUGGAUGUGGUGGAGUCACCACGUGAUGGGGUACGUUUCGAGACACCACGUGAUGGGGUGUCUUCCUGAUCAAAUUAGAAGACGCCUAAGCAGUGAAGGAACCACCAGCUUCCAAUCUGCAAAAUCCAGAAGCUAAGACGAUAGUGACGCCGGGACUCGCCAUCGCAUCAUCAAGAAAUAUGGAGGCCACGGCUGCGAUCGAUCGAGGACCUUCCCAGAGUCACCUCGCGACACCGCUGGCACCAUGGGAAUCGCCAGCCUUCAAUUUGCAGAACCCCGGAAAGACGAUGCAGCUCGAUGCCGGAGAAGUCGCCGACGUGCCAUCGAUGAUUCCGCAGAAUCUGCCCAGCGGCAUUGGCGCUCCUCCUUUUGA